AACGUAGGGGACAAGCGUUAUCCGGAUUUAUUGGGCGUAAAGCGCCCGUAGGCGGCGAGGUAAGUUGGACGUGAAAGCUCCCGGCUUAACUGGGAGAGGGCGUGCAAAACUGCCUGGCUUGAGGCUGAUAAAGGAGCGUGGAAUUCCCGGUGUAGUGGUGGAAUGCGUAGAUAUCGGGAGGAACACCAGUGGCGAAAGCGACGCUCUGGAUCAGACCUGACGCUGAGGGGCGAAAGCGUGGGGAGCGAACGGGAUUAGAAACCCCCGUAGUCC
This 273-nucleotide ribosomal RNA is filed under the name uncultured bacterium. RNAcentral's name for it is "partial 16S ribosomal RNA". It matches the Rfam family "Bacterial small subunit ribosomal RNA", at positions 524 to 796 of the family's 1533-position model. The record is from RNAcentral.